GGGUCCAUAGCUCAGUGGUAGAGCAUUUGACUGCAGAUCAAGAGGUCACCGGUUCGAAUCCAGUUGGGCCCU
Molecule: transfer RNA, 72 nt
Filed under: Vigna angularis (adzuki bean)
Lineage: Eukaryota; Viridiplantae; Streptophyta; Magnoliopsida; Fabales; Fabaceae
Also listed under: 1 other name
Description: tRNA tRNA-Cys
Rfam family: tRNA
About the family: Transfer RNA (tRNA) molecules are approximately 80 nucleotides in length. Their secondary structure includes four short double-helical elements and three loops (D, anti-codon, and T loops). Further hydrogen bonds mediate the characteristic L-shaped molecular structure. tRNAs have two regions of fundamental functional importance: the anti-codon, which is responsible for specific mRNA codon recognition, and the 3' end, to which the tRNAs corresponding amino acid is attached (by aminoacyl-tRNA synthetases). tRNAs cope with the degeneracy of the genetic code in two manners: having more than one tRNA (with a specific anti-codon) for a particular amino acid; and 'wobble' base-pairing, i.e. permitting non-standard base-pairing at the 3rd anti-codon position.
Source: Rfam by way of RNAcentral